AACAGGUAACAGUAUCCACAUUCUUCGUCUGGAAACGGAGCCCUAGAGCCCUAAUAUAUUGAGGUGAAAGGAAGUUUUGAGAUCUACUCCACACCGCAUUGGGGGAGAUUAAGUUUUCCGAUGAUGAAAAGUUUAGUAAUCUGAGAAAAAUGGAGAAUGGAGGUUUCAUCCAUAACUGGCGCUCCCGAUGCUUAUUCUUGCUGAGGUCGAGGAACCAGUUUUCUCCAUCAAAUUCCAGGCAUUAAACUCAUCUUCCAUAGCUUUCUUCCAUUGAGGAUGUUUUAAAGCUUCUUUCUCGCCACAUGGUUCAUGUUGAGUAUAAUCAACUAACAAGACUUUAGGUCUAAAGAUUCCACUCUUACCUCGAGUAAUCAUUGGAUGAGGAGAGAAUUGUUGUGUUGUUGUUGAUGGGAGGAUUGUUAGCAACAGGCAAUGCAUCUAUGGACAGAGUAUGAGAGGUAGUUUCUUCUUGAGUAUCACCGUUCUCAGUAUCAGGUUGGGAGCUACUUUGCGUGCCUAUCUCUAAAAGAUGCACAUUAGUAGUAUCAGGAAAUGUGUGAGGUAAAUGCCUUUUUGUGCUAUGGUUCAUGUUUGGGUUGCAGAGAAUGGUAUUAAUCGGUGGACAAUUGACAAUUGUUUGAGUUUUGGAGUGGGAGAGAAAAGGAAAUGUUUUUUUCAUAAAAAAGAACAUGUCUGGAUAGUUGUGAGAUUGAUACUAGGAAUGUGCAGGGUUGUGAUCUGAAGGACAAUUUGUGAGAUUGAUAGAGCCUUAAGUAUGAAUAACAUUUGCAGCCAAAGGUUCUAAGUGAUGGAUAGUUGGGCUUUGGACCGAAUAACUUUUCAAGAGGACUUAUGUUUUGUAGGACAGGUCUGGGAAGCCGAUUGAUAAGGUAUACACUGGUAGAAAAGGCUUCAUCCCAGAAGUUAAGGGGAAAGGUGGCUUGGGAUAGGAGAGUAAGUCCCAUAUCCAUGAUAUGUUUCCUUUCCACUAUCCCAUUUUGUUGUGAGGUAUGUGAGCAAGUUAUGUGAUGUUCAAUUCCAUAUUGAUGUAGGAAGGGAAUGAAAGGGAAGAGCAGGACGUUUUCCUAUUGCACAAGCUUCACAGAAUUUCAAUUUAUUAACAUUCAAAGUAGGACGCAUAACAUGUUUCCAAGACAAUUUAAACAAUAGAUAAAUGGGGAUGGCCCAAUCUUUUGUGCCAGUCAUCAAGAGAAAUAGUGGAAUUGUAAACAUUUAAGGCUUCAGGUGUUGUGAGGGAUGAUCGGAUGUUAAACUUGUAUGGAAGCCCAUCACUGAGUACCCUUUGGAGAAAGUUCAGCCAGUUCUGUCGACAGAUCAACAAAAUUGAGAUCGUAGGCUUCCAAGGCUGUGAGGAUUUGGAAUUUCCAGAGAAAAUUGUCAUCUCUUAAUUUUACUGCAGAGAUUUUGUUUCAAAAACUGGUCUGUGAGAUGGAUGAUGAUCCAUCAGUUGAGUCAGAGUGUUCAUCGUUGAGUGAAUGAGGGAAUUCGUUCAAAAACCCUAGCUAUGGAGCGACAAAAGUCGAGAAAAAAAAAGGAUUAAAGUAAAGACAAAUUCUAGAAGAUGGGCCUUUGAUACAAGAAGAAUGAGAAAUAGAACCUUAAUGGGCUAUCGGUUUCGUAUCUCUUAAACUUUGAAGAUUUGUUGUUUUAGGGUUUGAAUUAUGAACAGUUGAACCGUAGUUUCUGGAGAAAGUGUAAAUGCUGUAUUUGUUUUUUUUUUUUUUUUUUUUUUU
Molecule: long non-coding RNA, 1754 nt
Organism: Cucumis melo (muskmelon)
Lineage: Eukaryota; Viridiplantae; Streptophyta; Magnoliopsida; Cucurbitales; Cucurbitaceae
Exons: 2
Source: RefSeq, a predicted model, not a curated record